CAGAGAACAUCGCCCUCACGGGUGACUCUCCAACCCUAUGUUAUUUUACCUUUGUUGCUUUGGCGGGUCGCCUUGGCCACCGGCUCACGCUGGUGAGUGCCCGCCAGAGGACCCCAAACUCUGAAUAUUAGUGUCGUCUGAGUACUAUAUAAUAGUUA
RNAcentral lists this unclassified non-coding RNA (158 nucleotides) under uncultured Xenopolyscytalum. RNAcentral's name for it is "sequence contains ITS1". The record is from RNAcentral. Lineage: Eukaryota; Fungi; Ascomycota; Leotiomycetes; Helotiales.